CUGUCGGCGUGCUUAACACAUGCAAGUCGAACGGAAAGGCCCUGCUUUUGUGGGGUGCUCGAGUGGCGAACGGGUGAGUAACACGUGAGUAACCUGCCCUUGACUUUGGGAUAACUUCAGGAAACUGGGGCUAAUACCGGAUAGGAGCUCCUGCUGCAUGGUGGGGGUUGGAAAGUUUCGGCGGUUGGGGAUGGACUCGCGGCUUAUCAGCUUGUUGGUGGGGUAGUGGCUUACCAAGGCUUUGACGGGUAGCCGGCCUGAGAGGGUGACCGGCCACAUUGGGACUGAGAUACGGCCCAGACUCCUACGGGAAGCAGCAGUGGGGAAUAUUGCACAAUGGGCGGAAGCCUGAUGCAGCAACGCCGCGUGCGGGAUGACGGCCUUCGGGUUGUAAACCGCUUUCGCCUGUGACGAAGCGUGAGUGACGGUAAUGGGUAAAGAAGCACCGGCUAACUACGUGCCAGCAGCCGCGGUGAUACGUAGGGUGCGAGCGUUGUCCGGAUUUAUUGGGCGUAAAGGGCUCGUAGGUGGUUGAUCGCGUCGGAAGCGUAAUCUUGGGGCUUAACCCUGAGCGUGCUUUCGAUACGGGUUGACUUGAGGAAGGUAGGGGAGAAUGGAAUUCCUGGUGGAGCGGUGGAAUGCGCAGAUAUCAGGAGGAACACCAGUGGCGAAGGCGGUUCUCUGGGCCUUUCCUGACGCUGAGGAGCGAAAGCGUGGGGAGCGAACAGGCUUAGAUACCCUGGUAGUCCACGCUGUAAACGGUGGGUACUAGGUGUGGGGUCCAUUCCACGGGUUCCGUGCCGUAGCUAACGCUUUAAGUACCCCGCCUGGGGAGUACGGCCGCAAGGCUAAAACUCAAAGGAAUUGACGGGGCCCCGCACAAGCGGCGGAGCAUGCGGAUUAAUUCGAUGCAACGCGUAGAACCUUACCUGGGUUUGACAUGGAUCGGGAGUGCUCAGAGAUGGGUGUGCCUCUUUUGGGUCGGUUCACAGGUGGUGCAUGGCUGUCGUCAGCUCGUGUCGUGAGAUGUUGGGUUAAGUCCCGCAACGAGCGCAACCCUUGUUCACUGUUGCCAGCACGUUAUGGUGGGGACUCAGUGGAGACCGCCGGGGUCAACUCGGAGGAAGGUGGGGAUGACGUCAAGUCAUCAUGCCCCUUAUGUCCAGGGCUUCACGCAUGCUACAAUGGCUGGUACAGAGAGUGGCGAGCCUGUGAGGGUGAGCGAAUCUCGGAAAGCCGGUCUCAGUUCGGAUUGGGGUCUGCAACUCGACCUCAUGAAGUCGGAGUCGCUAGUAAUCGCAGAUCAGCAACGCUGCGGUGAAUACGUUCCCGGGGCUUGUACACACCGCCCGUCAAGUCAUGAAAGUUGGUAACACCCGAAGCCGGUGGCCUAACCGUUGUGGGGGAGCCGUCGAAGGUGGGACUGGUGAUUAGGAC
Molecule: ribosomal RNA, 1437 nt
Filed under: uncultured organism
Description: partial small subunit ribosomal RNA
Rfam family: Bacterial small subunit ribosomal RNA
Source: RNAcentral